CAGGAUGAACGCUAGCGGCAGGCUUAAUACAUGCAAGUCGUACGGGAUCCGAGGUAGCAAUACUUUGGUGAGAGUGGCGCACGGGUGCGUAACACGUAUGCAACCUACCUUUAACCGGGACACAACCUCGAGAAAUUGAGGCUAAUAUCCCAUAACACUGCGAAAUGGCAUCAUUUUGCAGUUAAAACUCCGGUGGUUAUUGGUGGGCAUGCGCGACAUUAGCUAGUUGGUGAGGUAACGGCCCACCAAGGCUACGAUGUCUAGGGGUUCUGAGAGGAUUAUCCCCCACACUGGUACUGAGACACGGACCAGACUCCUACGGGAGGCAGCAGUAAGGAAUAUUGGUCAAUGGGCGCAAGCCUGAACCAGCCAUGCCGCGUGAAGGAUGACGGCCCUAUGGGUUGUAAACUUCUUUUGUACGGGAAAAAACCACCGGUCGUGUAUCGGUGCUGAUGGUACCGUAAGAAUAAGCAUCGGCUAACUCCGUGCCAGCAGCCGCGGUAAUACGGAGGAUGCAAGCGUUAUCCGGAUUCAUUGGGUUUAAAGGGUGCGCAGGCGGAGUGAUAAGUCAGUGGUGAAAGCCUACAGCUUAACUGUAGAACUGCCAUUGAUACUGUCAUUCUUGAGUAUUGUUGAGGUAGGCGGAAUGUGUCAUGUAGCGGUGAAAUGCUUAGAUAUGACACAGAACACCGAUCGCGAAGGCAGCUUACCAAGCAAUAACUGACGCUCAUGCACGAAAGCGUGGGGAUCAAACAGGAUUAGAUACCCUGGUAGUCCACGCCGUAAACGAUGAUCACUCGAUGUUGGCGAUACACAGUCAGCGUCUUAGGGAAACUAUUAAGUGAUCCACCUGGGGGAGUACGGUCGCAAGAUUGAA
This 877-nucleotide ribosomal RNA is filed under the name uncultured bacterium. RNAcentral's name for it is "bacterial SSU rRNA". It matches the Rfam family "Bacterial small subunit ribosomal RNA", at positions 25 to 898 of the family's 1533-position model. The record is from RNAcentral.